This 497-nucleotide ribosomal RNA is filed under the name uncultured bacterium. RNAcentral describes it as "partial 16S ribosomal RNA". It matches the Rfam family "Bacterial small subunit ribosomal RNA", at positions 28 to 507 of the family's 1533-position model. The record is from RNAcentral.
GAUGAACGCUGGCGGCGUGCCUAAUACAUGCAAGUCGAGCGAACGGACGAGAAGCUUGCUUCUCUGAUGUUAGCGGCGGACGGGUGAGUAACACGUGGAUAACCUACCUAUAAGACUGGGAUAACUUCGGGAAACCGUAGCUAAUACCGGAGAAUAUUUUGAACCGCAGGGUUCAAAAGUGAAAGACGGUCUUGCUGUCACUUAUAGAUGGAUCCGCGCUGCAUUAGCUAGUUGGUAAGGUAACGGCUUACCAAGGCAACGAUGCAUAGCCGACCUGAGAGGGUGAUCGGCCACACUGGAACUGAGACACGGUCCAGACUCCUACGGGAGGCAGCAGUAGGGAAUCUUCCGCAAUGGGCGAAAGCCUGACGGAGCAACGCCGCGUGAGUGAUGACGGUCUUCGGAUCGUAAAACUCUGUUAUUAGGGAAGAACAUAUGUGUAAGUAACUGUGCACAUCUUGACGGUACCUAAUCAGAAAGCCACGGCUAACUACGUG